GUCCACGCCGUAAACUAUGGACACUUGGUGUUGGAGGUUUUGACCCCUUCAGUGCCGAAGCUAACGCGUUAAGUGUCCCGCCUGGGGAGUACGGUCGCAAGAUUAAAACUCAAAGAAAUUGACGGGGGCCCGCACAAGCGGUGGAGCAUGUGGUUUAAUUCGAUGCAACGCGAAAAACCUUACCUGGGUUUGACAUCUACUGGAAGACUCUCAGAAAUGAGGUCGCCUUCGGGCCGGUAGACA
Molecule: ribosomal RNA, 243 nt
Filed under: uncultured bacterium
Lineage: Bacteria
Description: partial 16S ribosomal RNA
Rfam family: Bacterial small subunit ribosomal RNA
Source: RNAcentral